Molecule: unclassified non-coding RNA, 1430 nt
Filed under: Leishmania donovani
Lineage: Eukaryota; Euglenozoa; Kinetoplastea; Trypanosomatida; Trypanosomatidae
Description: gene:LdHU3.01.0220(CDS-product:Low_molecular_weig ht_phosphotyrosine_protein_phosphatase_putative)
Source: RNAcentral
UCCCACGGACACAGGUCUACCAGGAACACAGCCACAUCAAGCACCGUCGCAUGAGCAGCUGCCGCGGUAUCGUUGUUGCUGGCGUCACGAACCAGGCACGGACGCAGAUGGCCGAGGCGUUCUUGCGGGCCUUUACUGGUGGCCGCGUGUUUGUGUGCAGCGGGGGCGUGCACCACCUCGGCACCGUGCAUCCGUUGGCCGUGACGGCCAUGGCGGAAAUGGGCAUCGAUGUUAGCCGGCAGUCCUCGUCCUCGCUCGCUGGCGUGCGUCGGCAGCGCGACACUUACGACGUCUACGUCAGUGUUGAUGCCCCCUACACGGAGCGGACAAGCGACCGGUAUCAGCGGCGCUACGCCGACACACAAGCUGCUCAGCAGAGCUCCAUGGGCGCUUCUGGGUUGUCGGCGUCGUGCGCUUCUUCCACUUCGGAUUUCUGCGAUCCACUGCUGGCAUCGGCGACGCCGGCGCACUGGACAGUGUCGCAGGACACAACGGACGGCCGGCAGAGCUGGACGUUGUGGAGUCCGCGCAACCCCGCUAUUUACCACGAGCGGUCGACGCGCAAGCUGCAGGAUCAUCUGUACGAGGGCGAGCCUCUCUUCAUGCGCGUGCGGCCGCACGAACUGCGCAAGGCGUGCCGGGUGCAGCGGCGAUGGGAGGUGCCGGAGCUCACGCAACGGUUCGCGCUGGAGACGGAGGCCGAGCAGAAGGCGCGGUUUGUGCAAGCGCGUGAUCUGCUCGGCUCCCUGGCCCUUGCGCUCGUACGUGACUUGGAGCGGGAGUACGGCGAGACGAUGCUCGACGAGGCCACGGUGGCUGCCUAUGAGAAGGUUGCGGCGACGAGGUGCGGGCCUUGAGCCCACGCGGAGCGCUGCUGCAAGCUUGCUGGUGAUGCCGACGGUACUGCUGCCCAGAUGCCCCAUAUACCCCCCUCCCCUCCACUCUCUCCCUGCGUGUGUGCGCGCGCACGUUUGUCUUCCCAGGAACGCCUUCAAUGCGAUGAUGGUGACCAGUCGCGAGAUGCGCGUGCGCCAUGUCGGGCCGGCGGCCACCGGAGAAGGAGCAACGAGCAAGGCAGGCGAAGCGUCAAGCGAAGCAAGCGACGGCGACUUUCACGGGCAUCCCCGACCGCCUUCCCCUUCCCCUUUCCCCUUUCCCCCAUACCCACGAACGUGCACCGCCGCCACACGUGUGUCUGUCUGCAAGCUGGCUCGGGCCUGUAUGUGUUUCGCCGCGUCGUAAUCGCGGCUAUGCCAUUGCGUGGAUUUCCGCAGCCGCCGCUCUCGAUGCUGCCACAUCUUGGGCUGCUACACCGGCGUCUACAUGUGCCGCGACUGCCGUAUGGGUGCACCCUCUCAAGCCCUCAUGCCUUCAUGCCUCUCCCACCAUCCUCUUUUCGUUUCGACUCUCUCUUUCUCUCUCCCUGCUAG